RNAcentral lists this long non-coding RNA (217 nucleotides) under Elaeis guineensis (African oil palm). RNAcentral describes it as "long non-coding RNA (EGUI_LNC008253)". Lineage: Eukaryota; Viridiplantae; Streptophyta; Magnoliopsida; Arecales; Arecaceae. The record is from RNAcentral.
UACGUUGCAUAAUGAGGGCUGCUAUGAAUCAUGAAUUUAAUUGUAAAUUCAAUGACGCUCAGUCAAAAAAAAUACUUUAAAUAUUAAACAAGUCCUUUAGCACUCUUGAGGAUUCAUCCUCAACACGACAUUGAUCCUCUGAGAAAGGAAAGAAAAGAAUGGUGCAGAAGAGUUGUGCUAGGGCUUCUAAGCCUAAUUGAACUAAGCAGUCUAAGAC